CAAUAGCGUAUAUUAAAGUUGUUGCAGUUAAAAAGCUCGCAGUUGGAUUUCUGGAUCGAACGCUUCGUCCGCCGCUGUGCGGUGUGUACUGAGGUUUUGUUUCGAUUCAUCCUUGCAGGGAAGCGAGUUCGAGAUUAAUUUGUCGGCUCGGGGAACUGCAUCUUUUACUGUGAAAAAAUUAGAGUGUUUAAAGCAGGCAUUUUGCUGUGAAUACAUUAGCAUGGAAUAAUAACAUAGGACUUUGGUUCUAUUUUGUUGGUUGGAGGCCAAGGUAAUGAUUAAUAGGGACAGUUGGGGGUAUUCAUAUUUAAUUGUCAGAGGUGAAAUUCUUGGAUUUAUGAAAGAUGAACUCAUGCGAAAGCAUUUACCAAGGAUGUUUUCAUUAA
Molecule: ribosomal RNA, 386 nt
Filed under: uncultured eukaryote
Lineage: Eukaryota
Description: partial 18S ribosomal RNA
Rfam family: Eukaryotic small subunit ribosomal RNA
Source: RNAcentral